GUAAGAGCCUCCGCCGGGGCCGUGCUUUCUUUUCCCCGCGGCCGCCGUCGGAGGCGGGCUUCUCAGGCUCCUUGGGCCAUGCGGCCCGGGCGGCGGCGCCUGCCGGCCCCUUCCCAGGCUCGUCCAGGUGCACCAGAGCCUAUGAAUUUUGAAGAUGAAUGAAGGUCAUGAUAAAUGUUUUCCAAAAACUUGAGAUAGAGGAUGGCUUUGAAAAAACCACUAGGAGCACAACAACAUGUAUAAGUUUAUAGGUAGCUGCAGAUGAAUGUCAAAGUCCUUAGCUGUGCUGUUGAAAAAUCCUUCAUUGCCUCAAGUAAUUAUGAUUUAUGAAGCAACUACAUCUACUUAUAAUUCACAGGUUACCACAUUUUGGAAGGAAAAAAUGAAGAAUUGGUCAAGACGACAUGAAAUGAUGAAAAUUAGUAUUUUAUUUAACAUUGAUCACCUCACAGUAAAUUAUAUAGGAAAAUAAAUGUUUGACUACUUUUGAUUGCUGGGCAAUAAAGUCUUUAUAUCAACUCUUGAAA
Equus quagga is the source of this 527-nucleotide long non-coding RNA. RefSeq lists it as uncharacterized. Lineage: Eukaryota; Metazoa; Chordata; Mammalia; Perissodactyla; Equidae. The record is from RefSeq and is a predicted model, not a curated record. The transcript is spliced from 4 exons.